This 422-nucleotide ribosomal RNA is filed under the name uncultured bacterium. RNAcentral describes it as "bacterial SSU rRNA". It matches the Rfam family "Bacterial small subunit ribosomal RNA", at positions 355 to 774 of the family's 1533-position model. The record is from RNAcentral.
UGAGGAAUAUUGGUCAAUGGGUGCAAGCCUGAUCCAGCCAUGCCGCGUGAAGGAAUAAGGCCCUAUGGGUUGUAAACUUCUUUUAGACGGGACAAAACCCCUUUACGUGUAAAGGGUUGAUGGUACUGUCAGAAUAAGCAUCGGCUAACUUCGUGCCAGCAGCCGCGGUAAUACGAAGGAUGCAAGCGUUAUCCGGAAUUAUUGGGUUUAAAGGGUGCGUAGGCGGACUAAUAAGUCAGUGGUGAAAGCCUGCAGCUUAACUGCAGAAUUGCCAUUGAUACUGUUAGUCUUGAGUACAGUUGAGGUAGGCGGAAUGUGUCAUGUAGCGGUGAAAUGCUUAGAUAUGACACAGAACACCGAUUGCGAAGGCAGCUUGCUAAGCUGUAACUGACGCUGAGGCACGAAAGCGUGGGGAGCAAACA